CUUUAUAUAAACCUCAGAGGCUGUGCGAGUCCCCCUCCCCCUUUAUAUAAACCGCAGAGGCUGUGAGUCCCUCCCCCUUUAUAUAAACCACAGAGGCUGUGCGAGUCCCCCUCCCCCUUUAUAUAAACCUCAGAGGCUGAGUCCUUCCCCCUUUAUAUAAACCUCAAAGGCUGUGUGUGCAAGUCCCUCCCUUAUAUAAACCUCAGAGGCUAUGUAUGCGAGUCCCCCACCCUUAUAUAAACCUGCUGAAACUCUGCUGGGCACUCAGUACUGGCACCAGGAGUGCCCUCCCAGGUAAGAGGGCAUUAAUCUUUAAGACUAGCUGAAGUGCAGCACGGAAUACGGUCGUACUUGAGCUGCUGGAGGCAGCUGUUCAGGUUCUUGAGGGGCUCCUUGCUCACGGCGGGCGGUGGUCUCAGCAGCUCCUCCAGCAGCGAGGCGGGAACUGGGCAGUCCGGGAUCUUGAUGGGCGUGGCAGGGUUGGAAGAGCUGGCCUCGCCUUUCGGCUCCUUUCUCGUCUUGGCCGCGCCGCGGCGUAGGUCCAGCUUGAGCUGCUGGUUCUGCUGGAGCAGGGUCUUCAUGUUGUUCUUCAGCUCCGACACUUUUGCCUGGAGCAUAAAUUUAUCCUUCUGGGUCAUGGACAGGUCUUCCUGGGCC
RNAcentral lists this long non-coding RNA (657 nucleotides) under Homo sapiens (human). RNAcentral describes it as "LNC_000887". Lineage: Eukaryota; Metazoa; Chordata; Mammalia; Primates; Hominidae. The record is from RNAcentral.